RNAcentral lists this ribosomal RNA (497 nucleotides) under uncultured bacterium. RNAcentral describes it as "partial 16S ribosomal RNA". It matches the Rfam family "Bacterial small subunit ribosomal RNA", at positions 28 to 507 of the family's 1533-position model. The record is from RNAcentral.
GAUGAACGCUGGCGGCGUGCCUAAUACAUGCAAGUCGAGCGAACAGAUGAGGAGCUUGCUCCUCUGACGUUAGCGGCGGACGGGUGAGUAACACGUGGAUAACCUACCUAUAAGACUGGGAUAACUUCGGGAAACCGGAGCUAAUACCGGAUAAUAUAUUGAACCGCAUGGUUCAAUAGUGAAAGACGGUUUUGCUGUCACUUAUAGAUGGAUCCGCGCCGCAUUAGCUAGUUGGUAAGGUAACGGCUUACCAAGGCAACGAUGCGUAGCCGACCUGAGAGGGGGAUCGGCCACACUGGAACUGAGACACGGUCCAGACGCCUACGGGAGGCAGCAGUAGGGUAUCUUACGCAAUGGGCGAAAGCCUGACGGAGCAACGCCGAGUGAGUGAUGAAGGUCUUCGGAUCGUAAAACUCUGUUAUUAGGGAAGAACAAAUGUGUAAGUAACUAUGCACGUCUUGACGGUACCUAAUAAGAAAGCCACGGCUAACUACGUG